GACGAACGCUGGCGGCGUGCUUAACACAUGCAAGUCGAGCGGUAAGGCCCUUUCGGGGGUACGACGAGCGGCGAACGGGUGAGUAACACGUGGGUGACCUGCCCUCAGCUCUGGGAUAAGCCUGGGAAACCGGGUCUAAUACUGGAUAUGACUCCAUGACGCAUGUUGUGGGGUGGAAAGCCUUGUGCGGCUGAGGAUGGGCCCGCGGCCUAUCAGCUUGUUGGUGGGGUGAGGCCUACCAAGGCGACGACGGGUAGCCGGUCUGAGAGGGCGACCGGCCACACUGGGACUGAGACACGGCCCAGACUCCUACGGGAGGCAGCAGUGGGGAAUCUUGCGCAAUGGGCGAAAGCCUGACGCAGCGACGCCGCGUGAGGGAUGACGGCCUGG
This 390-nucleotide ribosomal RNA is filed under the name uncultured bacterium. Its description in RNAcentral is "bacterial SSU rRNA". It matches the Rfam family "Bacterial small subunit ribosomal RNA", at positions 28 to 419 of the family's 1533-position model. The record is from RNAcentral.